GCGAGGCUCAUAACCUGUAAUCUGGACAUGUUGAACAUGAUUAGAGGUACCGGACCAGAUAGUUGAUUUGCUUGCAAGUUGAGGUACUCAAGCAUGGGACACGAGGCAAUACCAGGUGGUAUCGGACCUGUUAGGCUGUUGUUCCCUAAGCCAAGAACAACUAACAAAGGCGUGUUGUUGAACAAUUGAUUUGGUAUUAGGCCACUUAAGUCGUUUGUCCCAAGUUGUAUGUUCCUAAGAUUGCCCAAGCUGUGCAGAUCAUUCGGUAUUUGCCCAGAGAGAGCAUUCUUUAAUAGAACAAGGGCUUCUAGCUUUGUGAGGUUUGCUAUGGUACGAGGGAUUAUACCUGACAAUUCGUUAAGGCCAAGAUCAAGAACAACGGGACGACUCAAUCUACCAAUAUCAGGUGGGAUGGAGCCCGUGAGGUUUGUGUUGGUGAGGUUUAAGACAUGGAGGAAAGAGAGAUUACCAAGAUGCGGGGAGAC
This 485-nucleotide ribosomal RNA is filed under the name Triticum aestivum (bread wheat). RNAcentral describes it as "partial small subunit ribosomal RNA". The record is from RNAcentral. Lineage: Eukaryota; Viridiplantae; Streptophyta; Magnoliopsida; Poales; Poaceae.